GGCUCGAGGACGAACGCUGGCGGCGUGCUUAACACAUGCAAGUCGAGCGAUGGAAGCUUCUUCGGAAGUGGAUUAGCGGCGGACGGGUGAGUAACACGUGGGUAACCUGCCUCGUAGAGGGGAAUAGCCUUCCGAAAGGAAGAUUAAUACCGCAUAAGAUUGUAAUAUCGCAUGAUAUAGCAAUUAAAGGAGUAAUCCGCUAUGAGAUGGACCCGCGUCGCAUUAGCUAGUUGGUGAGGUAACGGGCUCACCAAGGCGACGAUGCGUAGCCGACCUGAGAGGGUGAUCGGCCACAUUGGGACUGAGACACGGCCCAGACUCCUACGGGAGGCAGCAGUGGGGAAUAUUGCACAAUGGGGGAAACCCUGAUGCAAGCAACGCCGCGUGAGUGAUGACGGUCUUCGGAUUGUAAAGCUCUGUCUUUAGGGACGAUAAUGACGGUACCUAAGGAGGAAGCCACGGCUAACUACGUGCCAGCAGCUGC
This 484-nucleotide ribosomal RNA is filed under the name uncultured bacterium. Its description in RNAcentral is "bacterial SSU rRNA". It matches the Rfam family "Bacterial small subunit ribosomal RNA", at positions 26 to 518 of the family's 1533-position model. The record is from RNAcentral.